RNAcentral lists this long non-coding RNA (1131 nucleotides) under Hordeum vulgare. Its description in RNAcentral is "long non-coding RNA (HVUL_LNC000295)". The record is from RNAcentral. Lineage: Eukaryota; Viridiplantae; Streptophyta; Magnoliopsida; Poales; Poaceae.
AUCUGGGCUGCAUGGCGACACCAUCGGUAUAGAAACACAUAGCCAAGAGGCAUGCAUGUAAAACAUUGUAUGUUUCAUUCAUAGUCGGCUAUAGAGAUAUUGCAAUACAUGUAUUAGAGAGUAACUAUACUUGAGUGCACACAAAAUCAACAGGUACGCUCGAAAAAACAAUACUGCGAUUUCCAUGAAGCAUCGCUUGUGUGCGGCUACAUGUUCUGGCGGCCGACUUGUACGUCCAAGUAAAUAGGACUUAGCUCCCGCAGCAGAUAUAUGUGUAGCGGUGCCAUCUUAGAUAUCCGCCGUGAGAAGCUGAAGAAGACCAUCAGAUUUAGCGACAUUAAGCCAGAGAAAAGGAGCAGAAUGGCAGAUGUUGAGGGCGAGAAGAGAGGAUUUUGGCAUAGGUUGCAACUCAAAUUGCACACAAUGGCACGUACAUGUAGUAAGAUGAGAUCCCAAGCAGCUUGAGUGAUUCCGACCAGAUGCGCUAGUCGGUAAGUACGUACGUAACGGCAACGGAGAUCAAUUUCUUUCGGCUGUCAGUACCCGCACAUAAAAGACAUGAUUGAUGGCAAGUUCGCAACAAAAUUAAGGGCAUACUUGUCUGAACAACGACCAAUCCUUAGAAGAGAUGCAUGCAACCUCCUGAGCAUAUGACAUAUACAUUCUCCCGGUUGAGUCUGCACUUUAUUGAUCUUUAUGGCCUGAAACAGAACGCAUACGAACAUGAACAUGAUGUGUUUAUUUAGAUCUAACAACAAUUGAUCUUUAGACGGUGGCAGAGAGAGAAGAGAUGGAGGAGGAUGCGCUGCCGAUUUGGAUUGAUGUCCCCAGCGAGGUGUGCUUUAAUUCCUUUCUUUUUUCCCCCUUGCAUGCACUCAUGAACAUAUGUACUGAUCCUCGUGAUUUGAUUGAUUUGAUUUUGAAUAUGCAUCCAACAGAAAGUACGGGCCAUCUAUCCUUUAAGAUCGGGGGAAAGGAUUAGAGAAAGCACAACUAUCCGGCCUUAAAAUUAGAGAUGUGGAGAUUAAAUAGGAGGAGAGAGAGAGAGAUUAGAGACCAGACCCCAUAGUUAAAAUCGGAGAGAGAAAAAUUAGGGAUAAACUACACGCAUGGGUGAGUGGAUAAUAGGAG